This is a long non-coding RNA of Oenanthe melanoleuca, 927 nucleotides long. RefSeq lists it as uncharacterized. The transcript has 4 exons. Lineage: Eukaryota; Metazoa; Chordata; Aves; Passeriformes; Muscicapidae. The record is from RefSeq and is a predicted model, not a curated record.
GCUGAGAAGAAAUGAAUCUAUUCUGCUGAAACUUCCCAGUGAAUUCAGAUGUUUAACUGGACACCAAAUCACUGCAGGAUGAUGAUGCUUAAAGACAGAAAUGCAUUUUUCAAAGCUUUUCAAGGUGGACAGGAAAAGGUGACAGCUAAACCCAGAUCUUUUUCAAAACUGAAGCCAGGAGAAUGCCCAACAUCCCAGAUUUCUGUCCAACAGUAGGAUAAGGCAAGAGUCUGCAGAAUACAUCUAAUGAAUUAAGAUUUGCUAAUCAGACAAUCAGAAUAUUAGUUUUAAGAAGAUUAACUAUGCCUCAUACUUGGAGGGGUAAUAAGAAGUUGAUCCUAAGGAGAUGAGAAGCAAUUUGAAGUUGCCAUACCCUGAAGGAGAAGCAGUGAUCUUCCACCUGUGUGGAAGAGCCUGAGCCUGAGCCUGGACCUGGAGAAGCCAAUGAAGAGAGAGAAAAGCAGCCAAGGUUCAGAUGGAUGCAGCAGUGAAUAGGAGGGAAUUUCAUGGCCCUCCACUGAGACCAGUCCAGGCUCUUCCCUGAGCACUUCCAGCUUGUGAAAUACAAGAACUUGCAGGCUUGGAAGGAAAAAUCUCCAGCAGACCAUGCUGUGGACUCCUGCUGUGAUUUUUGGAGACAUGACCAUCACCAGAGGGAAUUGAUGUAAUGUCCCAGCAAAGGAAGAACAGACUCAUGUCUCUCUCUGCCUUUCCUGACACCCUCUCUUCCAAGUCAGCUGUUUUGUACAGGGUAUAAAUUAGGGUAGAACUUGGCACAGGGCUUUCAUUCACUCAUGUUGAAAACUUCUGCCCUAGAAGUUAUUCUUGGAGAAGAAUCAUGACUAGCUGUCAGAUCCAUUUGCAGUGCAACUCCACUGAAGAUAUUGAAGUUAUACCAGGAUUUAACUUGGCAUAUGAACCAAGACU